Molecule: ribosomal RNA, 445 nt
Filed under: uncultured Geobacter sp.
Lineage: Bacteria; Pseudomonadati; Thermodesulfobacteriota; Desulfuromonadia; Geobacterales; Geobacteraceae
Description: bacterial SSU rRNA
Rfam family: Bacterial small subunit ribosomal RNA
Source: RNAcentral
UGGAGCAUGUGGUUAAUUCGAAGCAACGCGAAGAACCUUACCAGGUCUUGACAUCCCGAUGCUAUUCUAGAGAUAGAAAGUUACUUCGGUACAUCGGUGACAGGUGGUGCAUGGUUGUCGUCAGCUCGUGUCGUGAGAUGUUGGGUUAAGUCCCGCAACGAGCGCAACCCCUGUCUUUAAUUGCCAUCAUUAAGUUGGGCACUUUAGAGAGACUGCCGGUGUUAAGCCGGAGGAAGUGGGAUGACGUCAAGUCCUCAUGGCCUUUAUGUCUAGGGCUACACACGUGCUACAAUGGGUGGUACAAGGAGUUGCGAUACCGCGAGGUGGAGCUAAUCUCAUAAAGCCGGUCUCAGUUCGGAUUGGAGUCUGCAACUCGACUCCAUGAAGUUGGAAUCGCUAGUAAUCGCGGAUCAGCAUGCCGCGGUCGAAUACGUUCCCGGGCCUU